This 273-nucleotide long non-coding RNA is filed under the name Mytilus galloprovincialis (Mediterranean mussel). The record is from RNAcentral. Lineage: Eukaryota; Metazoa; Mollusca; Bivalvia; Mytilida; Mytilidae.
GGUCAGGAUCCCUAAUGGACCUUGAGAUGAGGAACUCAGAUGACGUUAUUAAAAAAAAUAUUAGUCCGCCAUACAAUUGUGGAUGCUGUGAUUUUAAAAAUGGACAUAAAUGAACAAUAAGAACUGUUUUAUAGAGCUGAUGUGAUGAGAAAAGAAAUAUGUAGAUUUGACCUGAAAUAAAUUAUUAGAAAGGACAUUUUUUUUUUUAUUGAAUUUUAUGAUCAGAAUUUUGGGAUUAUUUCAUGAGGAGAGUGACAUUUUUCACCAUCUUCC